Bos indicus x Bos taurus (hybrid cattle) is the source of this 570-nucleotide long non-coding RNA. Lineage: Eukaryota; Metazoa; Chordata; Mammalia; Artiodactyla; Bovidae. The record is from Ensembl.
CUUGGCUCAUCUGAAGAAUGAAGGCCUCUCUGUGUUAGCAGGACUCCUCGUGCUUUUUCUGUUGAUCCGUAGUUUGGAUAACUUGUCUGUCAACUGUGCUAAAAACUGGCUCCAGGUCAAAGUGAGACGAACGCCGUUUGUGGAUGAGCUGCUACCCCAGGUUCAUGAGCUCUUUCUCGGAGAUGGCUGCCCCGUCACCACAGAGCUGCCUGAUUCCUUUGAGUUCCUUUACAGUCUUACUACUUGUGGCAUCAGGACUUACGAAAGCUCAUGGGGCAUUCUCAUUGAAAGCUCAGUCACAUAUGAAUCUUUGUUUAUAAACAGAGGAGGUGUCAUCCCAGUGCUGUGCUUUGUUAAAAGAAAUGAUCCAUUCACCUUUGGGGAAGAAGACAUAGAAAGUGAUAAUGAAACAACUGGGGAAAACGCCCAAGGGCCAGGCAGACAGAAGAACACAGCACCACCGGAAGCACCAUCCUUGGAGCCCCCUCCAGGAAUACCAAGCAAGUGAGUCGUCUUUUGACUUAGUACUAUCAAUGCUUUCCAAGGCACAAAAAAGCAAAGGUUCAGUAC